Molecule: ribosomal RNA, 460 nt
Filed under: uncultured bacterium
Lineage: Bacteria
Description: partial 16S ribosomal RNA
Rfam family: Bacterial small subunit ribosomal RNA
Source: RNAcentral
CCUACGGGUGGCUGCAGUGAGGAAUAUUGGUCAAUGGACGAGAGUCUGAACCAGCCAAGUAGCGUGAAGGAUGACUGCCCUAUGGGUUGUAAACUUCUUUUAUAUGGGAAUAAAAUGUUCCACGUGUGGGAUUUUGUAUGUACCCUAUGAAUAAGGAUCGGCUAACUCCGUGCCAGCAGCCGCGGUAAUACGGAGGGUCCGGGCGUUAUCCGGAUUUAUUGGGUUUAAAGGGAGCGUAGGUGGAUUGUUAAGUCAGUUGUGAAAGUUUGCGGCACAACCGUAAAAUUGCAGUUGAAACUGGGAGGCUGGAGUACAGUAGAGGUGGGCGGAAUUCGUGGUGUAGCGGUGAAAUGCUUAGAUAUCACGAAGAACUCCGAUUGCGAAGGCAGUUCACUGGACUGCAACUGACACUGAGGCUCGAAAGUGUGGGUAUCAAACAGGAUUAGAUACCCCAGUAGUC